RNAcentral lists this ribosomal RNA (203 nucleotides) under uncultured soil bacterium. Its description in RNAcentral is "partial 16S ribosomal RNA". It matches the Rfam family "Bacterial small subunit ribosomal RNA", at positions 26 to 257 of the family's 1533-position model. The record is from RNAcentral.
AGAACGAACGCUGGCGGCAUGCCUAAUACAUGCAAGUCGAACGGACUCUUCGGAGUUAGUGGCGCACGGGUGCGUAACGCGUGGGAAUCUGCCCCUUGGUUCGGAAUAACAGUUGGAAACGACUGCUAAUACCGGAUGAUGACGAAAGUCCAAAGAUUUAUCGCCAAGGGAUGAGCCCGCGUAGGAUUAGCUAGUUGGUGAGG